UACUCCUACGGGAGGCAGCAGUGGGGAAUCUUCCGCAAUGGACGAAAGUCUGACGGAGCAACGCCGCGUGAGUGAUGACGGCCUUCGGGUUGUAAAGCUCUGUUAAUCGGGACGAAUGGUUCUUGUGCAAAUAGUGCGAGGAUUUGACGGUACCGGAAUAGAAAGCCACGGCUAACUACGUGCCAGCAGCCGCGGUAAUACGUAGGUGGCAAGCGUUGUCCGGAAUUAUUGGGCGUAAAGCGCGCGCAGGCGGAUUGGUCAGUCUGUCUUAAAAGUUCGGGGCUUAACCCCGUGAUGGGAUGGAAACUGCCAAUCUAGAGUAUCGGAGAGGAAAGUGGAAUUCCUAGUGUAGCGGUGAAAUGCGUAGAUAUUAGGAAGAACACCAGUGGCGAAGGCGACUUUCUGGACGAAAACUGACGCUGAGGCGCGAAAGCCAGGGGAGCGAACGGGAUUAGAUACCCCGGUAGUCCUGGCCGUAAACGAUGGGUACUAGGUGUAGGAGGUAUCGACCCCUUCUGUGCCGGAGUUAACGCAAUAAGUACCCCGCCUGGGGAGUACGACCGCAAGGUUGAAACUCAAAGGAAUUGACGGA
This 592-nucleotide ribosomal RNA is filed under the name uncultured bacterium. RNAcentral describes it as "bacterial SSU rRNA". It matches the Rfam family "Bacterial small subunit ribosomal RNA", at positions 334 to 917 of the family's 1533-position model. The record is from RNAcentral.